CUGAGAAGCUUAGAACUUUUUCAACGUCAA
This 30-nucleotide small RNA is filed under the name Histoplasma capsulatum. RNAcentral describes it as "hypothetical RNA". Lineage: Eukaryota; Fungi; Ascomycota; Eurotiomycetes; Onygenales; Ajellomycetaceae. RNAcentral also lists the same sequence under 1 other name. The record is from RNAcentral.